This 385-nucleotide long non-coding RNA is filed under the name Cricetulus griseus (Chinese hamster). Its description in RNAcentral is "lncRNA (ENSCGRG00000026518.1)". The record is from RNAcentral. Lineage: Eukaryota; Metazoa; Chordata; Mammalia; Rodentia; Cricetidae.
GAGUGUUUCGGCCCUACCCCAUUUCCCCCCGAGAAGACAGAUGGGCACUGAAGAAGCUUCAUCUUGAGUCAGUGACAAGGCUAGUCACUGAGCAACCCUGCCCUUCACCUCAACUGCUACAACGUAUUCCAGACCAUGGACAAGAUGACAGUGGAAUCGACUUUCCCCGCAUUGCUUGGGACAACGGACUUAUCUUAUGGAGGAUGCCAGCGAAAUAAUCCUGAUUUCUGGGAUCACAUGAAGGCUCCAGAGCAGAGAGCAGGAGGAAGAGGAAGAGCAAAAGGACGAUUUCCUGUUUGUCCCUGCUUAUAUCCUGAGUCUGCCCGCCAUGUCACCUCCUGUCUGGAUCUCUUUACUACAUUUCCCAGAAUCCUCCUUGACUCCU